RNAcentral lists this ribosomal RNA (472 nucleotides) under uncultured bacterium. RNAcentral describes it as "bacterial SSU rRNA". It matches the Rfam family "Bacterial small subunit ribosomal RNA", at positions 355 to 825 of the family's 1533-position model. The record is from RNAcentral.
UGGGGAAUUGUUCACAAUGGGCGCAAGCCUGAUGACGCAACGCCGCGUGGGGGAUGAAGGUCUUCGGAUCGUAAACCCCUGUCGAAUGGGACGAAUAGCUCGCGAAUUAAUACCUCGUGGGAAUGACGGUACCGUUAAAGGAAGCCACGGCUAACUCUGUGCCAGCAGCCGCGGUAAUACAGAGGUGGCAAGCGUUGUUCGGAAUUACUGGGCGUAAAGGGCGCGUAGGCGGCCAUCUAAGUCAGACGUGAAAUCCCCGGCUCAACCUGGGAACUGCGUCUGAUACUGGAAGGCUAGAGUUUGGGAGAGGGAUGUAGAAUUCCAGGUGUAGCGGUGAAAUGCGUAGAUAUCUGGAGGAAUACCGGUGGCGAAGGCGGCAUCCUGGACCAAUACUGACGCUGAGGCACGAAAGCGUGGGGAGCAAACAGGAUUAGAUACCCAGGUAGUCCCUGAGCGGGCUGGCAAGGCGCAU